CUACCAUGCAGUCGCACGAGAAAGGGACUUCGGUCCUGAGUACAGUGGCGCACGGGUGAGUAACACGUGAAUCAUCUACCUUCGAGUGGGGAAUAACUGAGAGAAAUCUUAGCUAAUACCGCAUAAUACCUACGGGUCAAAGCAGCAAUGCGCUUGAAGAGGAGUUCGCGGCAGAUUAGUUAGUUGGCAGGGUAAUGGCCUACCAAGACGAUGAUCUGUAUCCGGCCUGAGAGGGCGCACGGACACACUGGAACUGAAACACGGUCCAGACUCCUACGGGAGGCAGCAGUGGGGAACUUUGCGCAAUGGGGGAAACCCUGACGCAGCAACGCCGCGUGGAGGACGAAAUCCCUUGGGAUGUAAACUCCUUUCGAUAGGGAAGAUAAUGACGGUACCUAUAGAAGAAGCCCCGGCUAACUUCGUGCCAGCAGCCGCGGUAAUACGAGGGGGGCAAGCGUUGUUCGGAAUUAUUGGGCGUAAAGGGUGCGUAGGCGGUUUGACAAGUCUUAUGUGAAAUCUUCGGGCUCAACCCGAAGUCUGCAUGGGAAACUGUCGGGCUUGAGUAUGGGAGAGGUGAGUGGAAUUUCCGGUGUAGCGGUGAAAUGCGUAGAUAUCGGAAGGAACACCUGUGGCGAAAGCGGCUCACUGGACCAUAACUGACGCUGAUGCACGAAAGCUAGGGGAGCAAACAGGAUUAGAUACCCUGGUAGUCCUAGCCCUAAACGAUGAUUGUUUGAUGUGGGGGGUACCCAAUCCUCCCGUGUCGAAGCUAACGCGAUAAACAAUCCGCCUGGGGGAGUACGUCGCAUGCUGAACUCAAAGAUUGACGGGGCCGCACAGCGGUGAGCAUGUGAUUAUCGACGCACGCGAAGACUAACUUGG
This 882-nucleotide ribosomal RNA is filed under the name uncultured Acidobacterium sp. Its description in RNAcentral is "bacterial SSU rRNA". It matches the Rfam family "Bacterial small subunit ribosomal RNA", at positions 49 to 978 of the family's 1533-position model. The record is from RNAcentral. Lineage: Bacteria; Pseudomonadati; Acidobacteriota; Terriglobia; Terriglobales; Acidobacteriaceae.